CUGCCUUGGUUUCUGUUUUUGGUGAUGUGACAUUUGCAUUGAAGGUUGGCAAUAAUAAAAACUGAUUCUCCAUGCCUAUCAUAAUUUCAGUUUUGAAUAAGGCCUCGAACAAGUUGAUACGUU
Molecule: small nucleolar RNA, 123 nt
Organism: Papaver somniferum (opium poppy)
Lineage: Eukaryota; Viridiplantae; Streptophyta; Magnoliopsida; Ranunculales; Papaveraceae
Source: RefSeq, a predicted model, not a curated record